UAGUAUUAUAGGAAAGGAUUAACAACGGGAAAAGUGAAUAUGGGUAACCUUAGUAACUAAGGUUUUUUGAAAGUCAACUAUGAGAGAUACAUGAGUCUUUACAUAAAACCUCCCACCUACAAAAUACUGACUUUGCAGAUGAAGAAAAUGAGGCCAUGAGAAGUUAAGACUGGCAAAGGCCAAUGGCCAGUUAAGUAGCCAGCUCUUUUUCAGCUUCAGAGACAAUCCUUUACACAUUUCAUUUUCUUAGCUGCUCUGUGACUCACAGUGAAUUUUAUUAAUAUGGUUAUUUCUCAUCUCAGCUUCUGUG
Perognathus longimembris pacificus (Pacific pocket mouse) is the source of this 310-nucleotide long non-coding RNA. RefSeq lists it as uncharacterized. The record is from RefSeq and is a predicted model, not a curated record. Lineage: Eukaryota; Metazoa; Chordata; Mammalia; Rodentia; Heteromyidae. The transcript is spliced from 3 exons.